This 95-nucleotide microRNA precursor is filed under the name Canis lupus familiaris (dog). RNAcentral describes it as "mir-8834 microRNA precursor family". It matches the Rfam family "mir-8834 microRNA precursor family". Lineage: Eukaryota; Metazoa; Chordata; Mammalia; Carnivora; Canidae. RNAcentral also lists the same sequence under 1 other name. The record is from Rfam by way of RNAcentral.
AUGAGGAUCAGCCCCAGUGGCGGGGCCAGCUCUGGAGCCCUGGAGUCAGCUCCGGCAGGAACGCCGUCUGCAGGGCCUGGAGGCUCUGGGGCGGG